RNAcentral lists this unclassified non-coding RNA (19 nucleotides) under Canis lupus familiaris (dog). Its description in RNAcentral is "RNA Expansion segment ES24 from Canis lupus familiaris (PDB 4V5Z, chain BM)". Lineage: Eukaryota; Metazoa; Chordata; Mammalia; Carnivora; Canidae. The record is from RNAcentral.
CGGCGCCUCAUACGCGACG